CCUACGGGAGGCAGCAGUGAGGAAUAUUGGUCAAUGGGCGCGAGCCUGAACCAGCCAAGUAGCGUGAAGGAUGACUGCCCUACGGGUUGUAAACUUCUUUUAUAAAGGAGUAAAGUGAGGCACGUGUGCCUUAUUGUAUUUACUGUAUGAAUAAGGAUCGGCUAACUCCGUGCCAGCAGCCGCGGUAAUACGGAGGUUCCGAGCGUUAUCCGGAUUUAUUGGGUUUAAAGGGCGCGUAGAUUGUUUGUUAAGUCAGUUGUGAAAGUUUGCGGCUCAACCGUAAAAUUGCAAUUGAUACUGGGAGACUUGAGUACAGUAGAGGUAGGCGGAAUUCGUGGUGUAGCGGUGAAAUGCUUAGAUAUCGAGAAGAACACCGGUGGCGAAGGCGGCUUACUGGACUGUAACUGACACUGAGGCACGAAAGUGAGGGUAGCAAACAGGAUUAGAUACCCUAGUAGUC
Molecule: ribosomal RNA, 460 nt
Filed under: uncultured bacterium
Lineage: Bacteria
Description: partial 16S ribosomal RNA
Rfam family: Bacterial small subunit ribosomal RNA
Source: RNAcentral